GGCUUUGGGGAGGGGGUGGGAGAGACGACAGGUCUGGGAUCAGGGAGUCUUCAAGGCCCCCGCUGAGGGGACAGCGAAUCUACCAUUGAACCGUGCACGGGGGACAUGGACAAAAUGAGACGCGACAGGGACAAGAGCAUUUUGCUCUGCUUCCAGGAAACAUCAAGUAGACUUCGCUUGAAAAGAUCGAGAAUGGAGGAGGGGAUCGGCACUCACUUGCAGACAUCAACAGUUUCCAGAAAAUUCGGUUCAAUUCCUUCACCACGGACCCACCAACCAAGGAGCUGGCAAAACCCACUAACCAACCAGGAGAACACAGACCCGGUUUGUCUUUUGACAACCGAGUGGAACUGACGGGGCCGGCGCCUGCCCUGCGGGUCCCCUCCCUUGGCUGAGAAGAAAACCAAAUAAACCUUGAACAGCCUUGGCUUCG
This 433-nucleotide long non-coding RNA is filed under the name Homo sapiens (human). RNAcentral describes it as "non-protein coding HOXB-AS3:33". The record is from RNAcentral. Lineage: Eukaryota; Metazoa; Chordata; Mammalia; Primates; Hominidae.